This 247-nucleotide long non-coding RNA is filed under the name Elaeis guineensis (African oil palm). Its description in RNAcentral is "long non-coding RNA (EGUI_LNC028347)". The record is from RNAcentral. Lineage: Eukaryota; Viridiplantae; Streptophyta; Magnoliopsida; Arecales; Arecaceae.
AGAGUCGGAUGUCGGUCGGACUGUUCUGAAGAUUGAUCGGCAAAUGAAGGCCAGUCAGUUUUCUCCAACAGUUGCCCUCCCAUUUUUGAGUCCAAAUGGCGAGUCAUCACAUGCGUAGCUACGUGGUCGAUCGCUUUGGGCGAAAGGAGUGGUUAUCCGUCAUGUCGAGUCUCGAUUUUAUCGCCACAUUCUCUGGAAUACGGCCAAUCAUCCCCUUUGUCGUCCUUGAACCAUCGUAUCGGCAGAG